Molecule: ribosomal RNA, 492 nt
Filed under: uncultured bacterium
Lineage: Bacteria
Description: partial 16S ribosomal RNA
Rfam family: Bacterial small subunit ribosomal RNA
Source: RNAcentral
AGUGAACGCUGGCGGUAGGCCUAACACAUGCAAGUCGAACGGCAGCACAGUAAGAGCUUGCUCUUACGGGUGGCGAGUGGCGGACGGGUGAGGAAUACAUCGGAAUCUACUUUUUCGUGGGGGAUAACGUAGGGAAACUUACGCUAAUACCGCAUACGACCUACGGGUGAAAGCAGGGGAUCUUCGGACCUUGCGCGAUUGAAUGAGCCGAUGUCGGAUUAGCUAGUUAGCGGGGUAAAGGCCCACCAAGGCGACGAUCCGUAGCUGGUCUGAGAGGAUGAUCAGCCACACUGGAACUGAGACACGGUCCAGACUCCUACGGGAGGCAGCAGUGGGGAAUAUUGGACAAUGGGCGCAAGCCUGAUCCAGCCAUGCCGCGUGGGUGAAGAAGGCCUUCGGGUUGUAAAGCCCUUUUGUUAGGAAAGAAAAGCAGCAGGUUAAUACCCCGCUGUUCUGACGGUACCCAAAGAAUAAGCACCGGCUAACUUCGUG